Molecule: unclassified non-coding RNA, 267 nt
Filed under: Hevea brasiliensis (rubber tree)
Lineage: Eukaryota; Viridiplantae; Streptophyta; Magnoliopsida; Malpighiales; Euphorbiaceae
Source: RNAcentral
CCUUGGUGGAUAAAGUCAGAUGAAAUACAGGUAUUUGGUAACAGAUUUGCAGGUUGUAUAACCAACCGUUGAUUCGACGGAUUGAUGAAAAUUAUCGGAUAGGAAUUGUUAAGCGUGUCGAAAAAGAGUACACCUGCGUUGCACCGUAUCUUGUAUGAUUGGUCUCCGCAGGUGGGGUUUGUGCUGAGUGGGUAGGGGACUGAGGUAAGGCCACAGUUGGGGCAUUGUUUGGCUGAAAAUGUGCAUAUGACAGAGGAAAAAAGCAGC